Molecule: ribosomal RNA, 495 nt
Filed under: uncultured Eubacteriales bacterium
Lineage: Bacteria; Bacillati; Bacillota; Clostridia; Eubacteriales
Description: uncultured Clostridiales bacterium partial 16S ribosomal RNA
Source: RNAcentral
CACGUGGUUAGCCGGAGCUUAUUCUACAGGUACUGUCUUUUUCUUCCCUGUCUAAAGCAGUUUACAAUCCGAAAACCUUCUUCCUGCACGCGGCGUCACUGCGUCAGAGUUUCCUCCAUUGCGCAAUAUUCCCGACUGCUGCCUCCCGUAGGAGUCUGGGCCGUAUCUCAGUCCCAAUGUGGCCGUUCAACCUCUCAGUCCGGCUACUGAUCGUCGACUUGGUAGGCCAUUACCCCACCAACUAUCUAAUCAGACGCAAGCCCAUCUAUCAGCGGAUUGCUCCUUUCCCUUUUGUAACAUGAGUUACUAAGGCAUAUGCGGUAUUAGCAGUCAUUUCUAACUGUUGUUCCCCUCUGAUAGGCAGGUUGCUUACGUGUUACUCACCAGUCCGCACUAAAGCCAUUGUUGUAAGUCAAUCUUCAUUCCCUUUGAACAAGUUCUCUGUUCAUGUCAACAUCAUUACAACGUACUUCCGUUCGACUUUGCAUGUCUUAU